This 1195-nucleotide long non-coding RNA is filed under the name Phascolarctos cinereus (koala). RNAcentral's name for it is "lncRNA (ENSPCIG00000029867.2)". The record is from RNAcentral. Lineage: Eukaryota; Metazoa; Chordata; Mammalia; Diprotodontia; Phascolarctidae.
ACUUCACCUAAUUCCUUUCCUCUUCUAGCCUGACCCCCAGGCUGGUCACAUCCCUCCUGCCAUUCUUCAACUGAUUAGAAGAUGAAGCCAUGCAUUCUCAUCUCCAGGUUAGUAAUCCAGGGGCUAAACAUCUGCGAGAUGAAGGAUAACCCACUUGGUGCCUUUCCCCAUUGACCUCAUCCCAGGAACUGGAAGAUGUGCCUGCGGCAGAGCCUCCAGGCCCAUGUUCAAAGAAUGACAUAACUCCUGACUCUGGAUUGUCUUAGUCCAUAGAGACCUGCCUGGGCUUCUUUCCUGGUCAACUACCAGGCUAGUUCCCUUCUCAGGUCCCACUUACUUGGCAGAAGGAGUGAAGGGAGGCACCACCUGCAGAGAGAAACAAGUGCUGUGGGCCUAUGAGGCCUCCCUGGUCAUAGCUAGGUGCCCAUAGGCCUGCCAGCUUGCCUCUCCCUAGGCACCUGUUGCCAUGUGUCCCUCGUGAAUCCUCCUUCUCUUCCACCCUUAAGCCCAAAUGCCUUCUCGUCCAUGAGCCUGAGCUUCCAUGAUCUAGAUGUCUGAGUAUGUCCACAUGUAGAAAUAUACAACUACCAUAUGUCAGUAUUGGAAGAAAUCAUAGAGAUGAUAAUAAUAAUUAACAUGUGUAUAACUCUUUAGGAUUUUUAAAGCAUUUUAACAUGUUGCCCCAUUUGAUCCUCACAAGAACUUUGUGAAGUAGGGGCGAUUAUCAUUCCCAUUUUAUAGUUGAGGAAACAGACUGAGAGAGGUUAUAUGACUUGCCUAGGGUUAUACAGCCAGUAAGUAUCUGAGAAGUAUCUCAGGUCUUCCUAACUCCAAGUCCAAUAUGCUAUCCAUUUCACCACCUAGAUCAUAGAAGUAGCAUGAUGCAGUGGAAAAAAUGUUGGCUUUGGAGUAAGAGGCCCCGAGUUCAAAUGUUGCUCUGAUGUUUACUACAUGUGUGACUUUAGACAACUUACUUAAAUUUCCUGGGACUCAGUUUCCUCAUCUGUAAAACUAAAAGAGACAGAAUAGAUGGCUUCUGAUGUCCCUUCUUAAUUUAAGGUUUAGUACAACUUCUUCAUUUUACAGGUGAGGCCAAAAGAGAAGUGAUCAGAACAAAGUCACAGAGAUAGUAACAGAGACCUUUAGGUCCCAUGCCUGCUGACUUGAGGGUCUAGCGUGCAUUCUCUUAUAUCAU